Molecule: ribosomal RNA, 388 nt
Filed under: uncultured bacterium
Lineage: Bacteria
Description: bacterial SSU rRNA
Rfam family: Bacterial small subunit ribosomal RNA
Source: RNAcentral
GACGAACGCUGGCGGCGUGCUUAACACAUGCAAGUCGAGCGGUAAGGCCCUUUCGGGGGUACACGAGCGGCGAACGGGUGAGUAACACGUGGGUGACCUGCCCUUAGCUCUGGGAUAAGCCUGGGAAACUGGGUCUAAUACCGGAUAUGACUCCAUGACGCAUGUUGUGGGGUGGAAAGCCUUGUGCGGCUAGGGAUGGGCCCGCGGCCUAUCAGCUUGUUGGUGGGGUGAUGGCCUACCAAGGCGACGACGGGUAGCCGGCCUGAGAGGGCGACCGGCCACACUGGGGACUGAGACACGGCCCAGACUCCUACGGGAGGCAGCAGUGGGGAAUCUUGCGCAAUGGGCGAAAGCCUGACGCAGCGACGCCGCGUGGGGAUGACGGCCU